GGAGGGUUGUGGCUCAGUAAGAGCAGAUCACCUGCCUUGCAUGCAGAAGGUCCUUGGUUCAAUCUCUGGUGUCUCCG
Molecule: non-coding RNA, 77 nt
Organism: Podarcis lilfordi (Lilford's wall lizard)
Lineage: Eukaryota; Metazoa; Chordata; Lepidosauria; Squamata; Lacertidae
Source: the annotation of a GenBank genome assembly